This 429-nucleotide ribosomal RNA is filed under the name Actinomycetes bacterium. Its description in RNAcentral is "Actinobacteria bacterium partial 16S ribosomal RNA". It matches the Rfam family "Bacterial small subunit ribosomal RNA", at positions 355 to 776 of the family's 1533-position model. Lineage: Bacteria; Bacillati; Actinomycetota; Actinomycetes. The record is from RNAcentral.
UAGGGAAUCUUCCGCAAUGGGCGAAAGCCUGACGGAGCAACGCCGCGUGAGUGAUGAAGGUCUUCGGAUCGUAAAACUCUGUUAUUAGGGAAGAACAAAUGUGUAAGUAACUAUGCACGUCUUGACGGUACCUAAUCAGAAAGCCACGGCUAACUACGUGCCAGCAGCCGCGGUAAUACGUAGGUGGCAAGCGUUAUCCGGAAUUAUUGGGCGUAAAGCGCGCGUAGGCGGUCUUUUAAGUCUGAUGUGAAAGCCCACGGCUCAACCGUGGAGGGUCAUUUGAAACUGGAAAACUUGAGUGCAGAAGAGGAAAGUGGAAUUCCAUGUGUAGCGGUGAAAUGCGCAGAGAUCUGGAGGAACACCAGUGGCGAAGGCGACUUUCUGGUCUGUAACUGACGCUGAUGUGCGAAAGCGUGGGGAUCAAACAGG